AGCAGCCGCCGCGGGAAUACCAGCAGCCCAAGUGGUGGUCGCGCUUAUUGGGCCUAAAGCGCUCGUAGCCUGGCCGGUAAGUUCCCCGUGAAAUCGGGUCGCCCAACGAUUCGGCUUGCGGGGAAUACUGUCGGUCUUGGGGCCGGGAGACGCCGAGGGUACUCCGGGGGUAGCGGUGAAAUGCUGUAAUCCUCGGGGGACUACCAGUGGCGAAGGCGCUCGGCGAUAACGGGCCUGACGGUGAGGGGCGAAAGCUGGGGGCGCGAACGGGAUUAGAUACCCCCGUAGUCCCUGUCUCUUAUA
RNAcentral lists this ribosomal RNA (303 nucleotides) under uncultured bacterium. RNAcentral describes it as "partial 16S ribosomal RNA". It matches the Rfam family "Archaeal small subunit ribosomal RNA", at positions 457 to 759 of the family's 1478-position model. The record is from RNAcentral.